AAGGUCAUCGAUGCAUCGAUAACUAUUCAAGUUCUUGCAUGACCAAACUUGAUGGUAUGUUUUAACGGUACAGUUUCGGUCACACUGACAUGGAAAUGAAAACAUUGGACACGGAAUUUGUGGAGAUUCAUCCAAGAAACUCAUAUUUAAGUCCUAAGGAGCUAAUUGCUCAUCGCCACAAGGAGUUUGAAGUUCCAAGUGGAGGUCUAAAACGUACUCAAAAUGAAGGCACUGCAUCGGAACUUGAGGAGCUUAAACGAGCGCAAGAUCAUUUGCGAGCUCAGCUGUCAGUGCCGCGGAUAGAAAGACUUGGAGGAAGAGCUCUUGCCACUUGGAAUGAAGAGCAACAAGUGGCUGAAGUCCUACGCAAAGAUGGUAAAUUCGAAAAUUUUGGACACAGUGAGCAGGGAAAGCUAUACCUGGAAUAUUAUGAGGCUUUGUUCUUGCUAGAACUGGGUCGCUUACAAUUGGAAUAUUAUGGUUUAGUGGUUUCAAUAGAGCAAGCUUAUGUGCUCCUACUUGGCGAGUUGGAAAGCGAAAAGUACACAAACUACCUUGUUUACUCCGCUUUAUCCCGUGCUGGCUAUAUAGUCGUCAGACAUAAACCCCCUGAAGCAACUCCCGAAUCAGUAACCAAGGCAGAUUGUAUCUGGGCUCUGCUAAAAAAGAUAGUGGGAAAUCAUUUAGUUCCAGAUCGCAUUAAAGCUUCGCCAUUUUACGCUGUCGUAGAUAAACAGAUGGAAGAUAACAAGGAACUCAUUAUAUCUCAAAAGAUAAAAGAGCCUGAAGACACAGAAGAAUCCAUAAAUUUACAAUUUGACUCAAAAAAGCGUAAAGCAAAUGAUGAACCAAUCGAAGAACCUGAAAGUAAAAAAGAAAAGCUUUCCACAUCCGGUCGAAGUCUCGUUGAUCACCUAAAAACUGAAUUUUCAUAUACCAAAUUCGAAGAGGUCUUUGAAAAGUUCGAUAUUGUACAACUUGAAAGACAAGAUUAUGCAACAAAUGAAUUCACGGUUUCUUCUUUAAAGAUAACAUUCGAUCUGCAUCUUCACAACGAGGGUUAUAAAAAGAGUUCACCAAAUCCACCCAACUUUAAUGUUAUCAUUCUAACAUCUCAAGAGGCUUUUCCUACUCACGAUGAUAUUUCCAAGAUUCAAAAUCAAUAUCUUCACACCGCACCACUGCUCGUCGUAUCCGUUAGCGAAUCCAAACAGAUACAGGCCUUUCUGUACUUUAUAAGUUGAUGAAUACCAAUACUGCGGAUAUGCUAGCUCAAUAAAUUAACUUUUUUCUAACUAAAUUUGUGACCAACAAUGGACGUACCAAAAAUUUGGAUAAUGGGCGGACCGGGCAGCG
Drosophila rhopaloa is the source of this 1356-nucleotide RNA transcript. RefSeq lists it as uncharacterized. The record is from RefSeq and is a predicted model, not a curated record. Lineage: Eukaryota; Metazoa; Arthropoda; Insecta; Diptera; Drosophilidae. The transcript has 6 exons.